Long non-coding RNA from Arabidopsis thaliana (thale cress), 351 nucleotides. RefSeq annotates it as other RNA. The record is from RefSeq. The transcript has a single exon. NCBI's taxonomy places the organism in Eukaryota, Viridiplantae, Streptophyta, Magnoliopsida, Brassicales, Brassicaceae.
AUCCUUUUUUCUUCCUUGCAUAAACAAAAUGUGCACACAGAUACCUAAAGCCUAAAGGAAUGUUUAGGCUACUAGACUGAGGAGACAUGUUCACUAAUUAUAUUCAACAAAGCACAAAAUCAAUAUAAUAAAAUAUAACUAAAGAAAGCGAAGCUAGAUAUGAUUCGAAGAUGUCUCACAAAGUCAUAUAUAAACAGAUCGAUACAUCAAUGAAGACAUAAAUAUAUUCGUAUCUAACAUUGAUUCACAAACAGAUCUCGAAUCAUUUCAUGACUUUUUUUUUGUUGUACGAAUAAAUAAAUAUAUUCUCUGGCUUCACAGUAAAUGUAUUAGCCUCUCCCACGUACAUGG